This 436-nucleotide ribosomal RNA is filed under the name uncultured bacterium. Its description in RNAcentral is "bacterial SSU rRNA". It matches the Rfam family "Bacterial small subunit ribosomal RNA", at positions 384 to 810 of the family's 1533-position model. The record is from RNAcentral.
UGACGAAGCGACGCCGCGUGCGGGAAGAAGGCCUUCGGGUUGUAAACCGCUGUCGGGAGUUAAGAAAUGCAAGGAUGUUAAUAGCGUUCUUGCUUGACUAAGGCUCCGGAGGAAGCCACGGCUAACUCUGUGCCAGCAGCCGCGGUAAUACAGAGGCGGCAAGCGUUGUUCGGAAUUAUUGGGCGUAAAGAGCACGUAGCCGGCUAUGUAAGUCGGUUGUGAAAGCCUUCCGCUCAACGGAAGAACAGCAUCCGAUACUGCAUGGCUUGAGUGCGGGAGGGGAGAGUGGAACUUCUGGUGGAGCGGUGAAAUGCGUAGAUAUCAGAAGGAACGCCGGCGGCGAAAGCGACUCUCUGGCCCGCAACUGACGCUGAGUGUGCGAAAGCUAGGGGAGCAAACGGGAUUAGAUACCCCGGUAGUCCUAGCCGUAAACGAU